UGGCUCAGGACGAACGGCUGGCGGCGUGCCUAAUACAUGCAAGUCGAGCGAAUUGAUGGGAGCUUGCUCCCUGAUAUUAGCGGCGGACGGGUGAGUAACACGUGGGCAACCUGCCUGUAAGACUGGGAUAACUCGCGGAAACGUGAGCUAAUACCGGAUAAUUCUUUCUAACACAUGUUAGGAAGCUAAAAGAUGGUUUACGCUAUCACUUACAGAUGGGCCCGCGGCGCAUUAGCUAGUUGGUGAGGUAAUGGCUCACCAAGGCAACGAUGCGUAGCCGACCUGAGAGGGUGAUCGGCCACACUGGGACUGAGACACGGCCCAGACUCCUACGGGAGGCAGCAGUAGGGAAUCUUCCGCAAUGGACGAAAGUCUGACGGAGCAGCGCCGCGUGAGUGAUGAAGGUUUUCGGAUCGUAAAACUCUGUUGUUAGGGAAGAACAAGUAUCGGAGUAACUGCCGGUACCUUGACGGUACCUAACCAGAAAGCCACGGCUAACUACGUG
Molecule: ribosomal RNA, 505 nt
Filed under: uncultured Bacillaceae bacterium
Lineage: Bacteria; Bacillati; Bacillota; Bacilli; Caryophanales; Bacillaceae
Description: bacterial SSU rRNA
Rfam family: Bacterial small subunit ribosomal RNA
Source: RNAcentral